This 448-nucleotide ribosomal RNA is filed under the name uncultured bacterium. Its description in RNAcentral is "partial 16S ribosomal RNA". It matches the Rfam family "Bacterial small subunit ribosomal RNA", at positions 29 to 523 of the family's 1533-position model. The record is from RNAcentral.
AGCGAACGCUGGCGGCAGGCUUAACACAUGCAAGUCGAACGCAUCCUUCGGGGUGAGUGGCAGACGGGUGAGAACGCGUGGGAACAUGCCCUUUGGUUCGGAAUAACUCAGGGAAACUUGAGCUAAUACCGGAUAAGCCCUUUUGGGGAAAGAUUUAUCGCCGAAGGAUUGGCCCGCGUCCGAUUAGCUAGUUGGUGAGGUAAUGGCUCACCAAGGCGACGAUCGGUAGCUGGUCUGAGAGGAUGAUCAGCCACACUGGGACUGAGACACGGCCCAGACUCCUACGGGAGGCAGCAGUGGGGAAUAUUGGACAAUGGGGGCAACCCUGAUCCAGCCAUGCCGCGUGAGUGAUGAAGGCCCUAGGGUUGUAAAGCUCUUUCGGCGGGGACGAUAAUGACGGUACCCGCAGAAGAAGCCCCGGCUAACUUCGUGCCAGCCGCCGCCGUAA